Molecule: ribosomal RNA, 281 nt
Filed under: uncultured bacterium
Lineage: Bacteria
Description: partial 16S ribosomal RNA
Rfam family: Bacterial small subunit ribosomal RNA
Source: RNAcentral
GUGGAUUAGAUACCCGAGUAGUCUUGGCCAUAAACGAUGAUCACUAGGUGUCGGGGGUCUCCUCGGUGCCGCAGCUAACGCAUUAAGUGAUCCACCUGGGGACUACGGCCGCAAGGUUGAAACUCAAAGGAAUUGGCGGGGGCCCGCACAAGCGGUGGAGCAUGUGGCUUAAUUCGAUGCAACGCGAAGAACCUUACCCAGGCUUGACAUGUAUCUGCAAGCUCCCGAAACGGAGUCGCCUUCGAGGGUGAUACACAGGUGGUGCACGGCCGUCGUCAGCU